This 468-nucleotide ribosomal RNA is filed under the name uncultured bacterium. RNAcentral's name for it is "partial 16S ribosomal RNA". It matches the Rfam family "Bacterial small subunit ribosomal RNA", at positions 28 to 507 of the family's 1533-position model. The record is from RNAcentral.
GACGAACGCUGGCGGCGUGCUUAACACAUGCAAGUCGAACGGAAAGGCCCUGCUUUUGUGGGGUGCUCGAGUGGCGAACGGGUGAGUAACACGUGAGUAACCUGCCCUUGACUUUGGGAUAACUUCAGGAAACUGGGGCUAAUACCGGAUAGGAGCUCCUGCUGCAUGGUGGGUGUUGGAAAGUUUCGGCGGUUGGGGAUGGACUCGCGGCUUAUCAGCUUGUUGGUGGGGUAGUGGCUUACCAAGGCUUUGACGGGUAGCCGGCCUGAGAGGGUGACCGGCCACAUUGGGACUGAGAUACGGCCCAGACUGCUACGGGAGGCAGCAGUGGGGAAUAUUGCAAAAUGGGCGGAAGCCGGAUGCAGCAACGCCGCGUGCGGGAUGACGGCCUUCGGGUUGUAAACCGCUUUCGCCUGUGAAGAAGAGUGAGUGACGGUAAUGGGUAAAGAAGCACCGGCUAACUACGUG